GCUAGGGGGGAUGCGAAGGCGAGAGAAAGAGAGCGAGGAAAAAUGGAAGGGGCGAGAAGGAAAUAGCUAUUUCUUUCUCGCCCUUCCCAUUUUUCCUCGCUCUCUUUCUCUCGCCUUCCCAUCCCCCCCCCUA
Molecule: non-coding RNA, 133 nt
Organism: Paramuricea clavata
Lineage: Eukaryota; Metazoa; Cnidaria; Anthozoa; Malacalcyonacea; Plexauridae
Source: the annotation of a GenBank genome assembly